AAUCUGCCUGGUAGUGGGGGACAACGUUUCGAAAGGAACGCUAAUACCGCAUACGUCCUACGGGAGAAAGCAGGGACCUUCGGGCCUUGCGCUAUCAGAUGAGCCUAGGUCGGAUUAGCUAGUUGGUGGGGUAAUGGCUCACCAAGGCGACGAUCCGUAACUGGUCUGAGAGGAUGAUCAGUCACACUGGAACUGAGACACGGUCCAGACUCCUACGGGAGGCAGCAGUC
This 230-nucleotide ribosomal RNA is filed under the name uncultured Pseudomonas sp. RNAcentral's name for it is "partial 16S ribosomal RNA". It matches the Rfam family "Bacterial small subunit ribosomal RNA", at positions 123 to 355 of the family's 1533-position model. The record is from RNAcentral. Lineage: Bacteria; Pseudomonadati; Pseudomonadota; Gammaproteobacteria; Pseudomonadales; Pseudomonadaceae.